UUGUGAUUUCGGAUUUUUCGUAAUGGAUGAAUUCCCUUCGGGGACAGAAAGACAGGUGGUGCAUGGUUGUCGUCAGCUCGUGUCGUGAGAUGUUGGGUUAAGUCCCGCAACGAGCGCAACCCUUAUUAUUAGUUGCUAACAUUCAGUUGAGCACUCUAGUGAGACUGCCCGGGUUAACCGGGAGGAAGGUGGGGAUGACACCUAAUCAUCUUGCCCCUUAUGUCUGGGGCUAUACACGUGCUAUAAUGGGGGGAACAAAAAGAUGCAAUACCGCGAGGUGGAGCUAAACUCCAAAACCCAUCCCAGUUCGGAUUGUAGGCUGCAACUCGCCUACAUGAAGCUGGAGUUGUUAGUAAUCACCAAUCAUAAUGUCGCGGUGAAUACUUUCCCGGCCCUUGUACA
Molecule: ribosomal RNA, 402 nt
Filed under: uncultured bacterium
Lineage: Bacteria
Description: bacterial SSU rRNA
Rfam family: Bacterial small subunit ribosomal RNA
Source: RNAcentral